GCUGGGUGCUGUGGCACACACCUGUAAUCCCAGCUACUUGGGAGGCUGAGGGAGGAGGAUCACAGUUUGAGGCCAGGCCGGGCAAGUGCGGGAGACUCUAUCUCAC
Molecule: small RNA, 106 nt
Filed under: Marmota monax (woodchuck)
Lineage: Eukaryota; Metazoa; Chordata; Mammalia; Rodentia; Sciuridae
Source: RNAcentral